This 444-nucleotide long non-coding RNA is filed under the name Chinchilla lanigera (long-tailed chinchilla). RNAcentral's name for it is "lncRNA (ENSCLAG00000028701.1)". Lineage: Eukaryota; Metazoa; Chordata; Mammalia; Rodentia; Chinchillidae. The record is from RNAcentral.
UUGUUGAUGUCAAGUAGGCACAGAAAUAACAAAGCAUUUUUUACCGAAAACUACACAAAAAAUGAGUUACCUGGCAGGACAAUGUAGGAAAGUGGUUAAGAUCCAUCAGCUGAGUAUUCCAGAUCUCUGGGAGAGAAUUCUAGGUUCCACUUAGGGUCAUUUGUCCAUCUACAGUCCAAGGGCUACAGUUCUGUAGAAUGUCCAUGGGUGUUCUGAAGAGAAGUGGUUGGCAAAGCUUACUGUGGAUGACAGUUAAUCAGAGAAGUAAGAAGAGAACCUGGAGAAGAACAGUACUUGGGGGAAACUUGUAGGAUGCCAUCAACAAUGUGGAAUGCUUCAGGUAGGGGGACCUGGCCAGGUGCCUCCAUGCGAAGCCACUGUGAUUUCUGAAUGGUCCAGAUUCAGGUACCAGGUACUGGCAAGGAGAACUUCCACUUACCUUGU